Molecule: ribosomal RNA, 800 nt
Filed under: uncultured Bacillota bacterium
Lineage: Bacteria; Bacillati; Bacillota
Description: bacterial SSU rRNA
Rfam family: Bacterial small subunit ribosomal RNA
Source: RNAcentral
CAAGUCGAACGAUUAAGACUUCCUUCGGGAAGUGCAUAAAGUGGCGCACGGGUGAGUAACACGUAAGUAAUCUACCUUCGAGUGGGGAAUAACAGUCGGAAACGACUGCUAAUACCGCAUAAUGCAGCGGCAUCGUAAGAUGACAGUUGUUAAAGGAGCAAUUCGCUUGAAGAGGAGCUUGCGGCAGAUUAGCUAGUUGGUAAGGUAAUGGCUUACCAAGGCAACGAUCUGUAACCGGUCUAAGAGGACGGUCGGUCACACUGACACUGAAUAACGGGUCAGACUCCUACGGGAGGCAGCAGUCGGGAAUUUUGGGCAAUGGGGGAAACCCUGACCCAGCAACGCCGCGUGAAGGAUGAAGUAUUUCGGUAUGUAAACUUCGAAAGAAUAGGAAGAAUUAAUGACGGUACUAUUUAUAAGGUCCGGCUAACUACGUGCCAGCAGCCGCGGUAAUACGUAGGGACCAAGCGUUGUUCGGAUUUACUGGGCGUAAAGGGCGCGUAGGCGGCAUGACAAGUCACUUGUGAAAUCUCCGGGCUUAACUCGGAACGGCCAAGUGAUACUGUCGCGCUAGAGUGCGGAAGGGGCAAUCAGAAUUCUUGGUGUAGCGGUGAAAUGCGUAGAUAUCAAGAGGAAUACCUGAGGUGAAGACGGGUUGCUAGGCCGACACUGACGCUGAGUGCGCGAAAGCCAGGGGAGCAAACGGGAUUAGAUACCCCGGUAGUCCUGGCCCUAAACGAUGAAUACUUGGUGUCUGGAGUUUUUAGUGCUCCGGGUGCCGUCGCUAACGUUUUAAGUAU